GGGCCAGAGAGAGAGAGAGCGAGAGAGAGAGAGAGAGAGAGAGAGAGAGAGAGAGAGAGAGAGAGAGAGAGAGAGAGAGAGAGAGAGAGAGAGAGAGAGAGAGAGAGAGUUCAGUCAGAUCGAGGAAAAGACAAACACACACACUCUCUUGCUGCACGCGCUAACCACACAUACACUCCUAUAUCUAAGGGCAGAGCACCCAGACACUGUGGCACCAUGUUGCACCCCAUCAUGAUAGGCAUCGUGACCUUCAACACCUCCUUGACCAUCAUCUACUGGACCUUUCUCCUGGGAGGGACCUUCUUUGACAUGAUGUCUCAAGAAGAAGACAAGCCCAAGAAGCUUAGUGAGGUCACCCCCGCUUGAGCCUGCGCCGCCAUGGAACCCACUACCUACCUGUGAAUUUACUAUGACAACCACCGACAGCUUACUAGGCCUAUAGGCAGCUUGUGUCGCUUUACACAUUUUACGUUGUGUUUUUUGUUUUUCCAGAAUUCCAUUGGGAAUCCUGUUUUUUUUUCUUCUCUUUCUGCCGUUUUCCACUUGUUCCACAUCCGUAGAGAAUCGGGUCAUCUGGAUCAAUCUGGAAUCAUUCUAAAACAGAUUGGGUUCUUGGCCCAAAACCCUCUGAUGUGGAUGCUGAGGGCGGUAUGGAGGAAGAAGAGGAGGAGCGAGGGAUCCUAUAUGAUGGAAGGAUUAAGAAAGAGUGGAUGGAGGAGAACGAGGUUGGGUUGCUGCCGGGGUUCUACCACGAGGCAGGGAACUACCACCCACCGGCCCUGCCACUUCGCAGCAUUAUCACAGCUUUGCCAAGUGAGAGGAUUAUGUCCAAUCAGAAUGUGACCUUUCAGCGCCCUUUUGACCCCUCAUGUCACCUCCUUCGGAGUUCUGUAACCUCAUUUGUUAUGCCAAUACGAAAUCACCCCCUCAUCUCUAGCCCUAUGGAAAGUGUUUAUAUCUGAGAGAAUUUCAAGAUACAAGCCAUAUGGCUGAAAUUUAAUCUGGCCUAUGAGAAGUUGGGGAAAUCAUCUGCUUGUAACUAACCAAUACAUUAAGAUCGAGGCAGAAGAGUUCAAUCUGGAAUAGAGUUUUUUGGCCGAUAUGCCAGGUUCAGUAACGAAGUCCAUCCUUCAUUUUUACCCCAUAACAACUCCUCUGUUUGUUGCAAAUGACAUAGAGAUAGAUGCUUGAGCUCCAUAACCACCAAGGUACAACACAUGUAGCUUCUAUGAAAUAUAACUGUGAUACAUGUAUGAAUACAUGAGUAUGUUCUUGUAUUGAUGCUGAUAGAAAGGUGGGCCAUAUUUAUACUCAUUGACAUGAGAAAUGGGUAAAAAAAAUAUAGAGCUCUUGGAUGUGAUGUAUAGCAGCUAUAUUACUUAAUGUGUAGACACACACACACACACGCACACACACACGCACACAUGCGCACACACGCACACACGCACACACACACACGCACACACGCACACACACGCACACACACACACACACACUUAUAUACACACACACAGGUUCCAGGUUUAUGUGUUAGCAACAGUGAUUUCCCAUUACGUAAUAACUUGUGUUAUUGUAAUGUGUUUUUGAAAUAAACAUACUUUUACAUUCC
Molecule: long non-coding RNA, 1609 nt
Organism: Oncorhynchus keta (chum salmon)
Lineage: Eukaryota; Metazoa; Chordata; Actinopteri; Salmoniformes; Salmonidae
Exons: 2
Source: RefSeq, a predicted model, not a curated record